RNAcentral lists this ribosomal RNA (95 nucleotides) under uncultured bacterium. Its description in RNAcentral is "partial 16S ribosomal RNA". It matches the Rfam family "Bacterial small subunit ribosomal RNA", at positions 1388 to 1482 of the family's 1533-position model. The record is from RNAcentral.
CACCGCCCGUCACACCAUGGGAGUGGGGUUCACCAGAAGCAGGUUGCCUAAUCGCAAGGAGGGCGCCUACCACGGUGAGCUUCAUGACUGGGGUG